This 488-nucleotide ribosomal RNA is filed under the name uncultured Gammaproteobacteria bacterium. Its description in RNAcentral is "bacterial SSU rRNA". It matches the Rfam family "Bacterial small subunit ribosomal RNA", at positions 30 to 507 of the family's 1533-position model. The record is from RNAcentral. Lineage: Bacteria; Pseudomonadati; Pseudomonadota; Gammaproteobacteria.
AUUGAACGCUGGCGGCAUGCCUAACACAUGCAAGUCGAACGGUAACGCGGAGAGCUUGCUCUCUGGCGACGAGUGGCGGACGGGUGAGUAAUACUUAGGAAUCUGCCCAGUAGUGGGGGACAACAUUCGGAAACGGAUGCUAAUACCGCAUACGCCCUACGGGGGAAAGCGGGGGAUCUUCGGACCUCGCGCUAUUGGAUGAGCCUAAGUCGGAUUAGCUUGUAGGUAGGGUAAUGGCCUACCUAGGCGACGAUCCGUAGCUGGUCUGAGAGGACGAUCAGCCACACUGGGACUGAGACACGGCCCAGACUCCUACGGGAGGCAGCAGUGGGGAAUAUUGGACAAUGGGCGCAAGCCUGAUCCAGCAAUGCCGCGUGUGUGAAGAAGGCCUGCGGGUUGUAAAGCACUUUCAGUAGAGAAGAAAAGCUUACGGUUAAUACCUGUGAGUCUUGACGUAACCUACAGAAGAAGCACCGGCUAACUCCGUG